GCCCCUAUAGCUCAGCUGGUAGAGCAUCGGACUCUUAAUCCGCAGGUCGUAGGUUCGAUCCCUACUGGGGGCACAA
RNAcentral lists this transfer RNA (76 nucleotides) under Candidatus Nomurabacteria bacterium. Its description in RNAcentral is "tRNA-Lys". It matches the Rfam family "tRNA". From Rfam's summary of the family: Transfer RNA (tRNA) molecules are approximately 80 nucleotides in length. Their secondary structure includes four short double-helical elements and three loops (D, anti-codon, and T loops). Lineage: Bacteria; Candidatus Nomuraibacteriota. The record is from RNAcentral.